AGUGAACGCUGGCGGUAGGCCUAACACAUGCAAGUCGAACGGCAGCACAGUAAGAGCUUGCUCUUACGGGUGGCGAGUGGCGGACGGGUGAGGCAUACAUCGGAAUCUACUUUUUCGUGGGGGAUAACGUAGGGAAACUUACGCUAAUACCGCAUACGACCUACGGGUGAAAGCAGGGAAUCUUCGGACCUUGCGCGAUUGAAUGAGCCGAUGUCGGCUUAGCUAGUUGGCGGGGUAAAGGCCCACCAAGGCGACGAUCCGUAGCUGGUCUGAGAGGAUGAUCGGCCACACUGGAACUGAGACAGGGUCCAGACUCCUACGGGAGGCAGCAGUGGGGAAUAUUGGACAAUGGGCGCAAGCCUGAUCCAGCCAUACCGCGUGGGUGAAGAAGGCCUUCGGGUUGUAAAGCCCUUUUGUUGGGAAAGAAAAGCAGCAGGUUAAUACCCCGCUGUUCUGACGGUACCCAAAGAAUAAGCACCGGCUAACUUCGUG
RNAcentral lists this ribosomal RNA (492 nucleotides) under uncultured bacterium. RNAcentral's name for it is "partial 16S ribosomal RNA". It matches the Rfam family "Bacterial small subunit ribosomal RNA", at positions 29 to 507 of the family's 1533-position model. The record is from RNAcentral.